This is a long non-coding RNA of Neodiprion fabricii, 384 nucleotides long. RefSeq lists it as uncharacterized. The transcript is spliced from 3 exons. NCBI's taxonomy places the organism in Eukaryota, Metazoa, Arthropoda, Insecta, Hymenoptera, Diprionidae. The record is from RefSeq and is a predicted model, not a curated record.
AGUGCGCUAAUGAAAUUUCUAUAAUUUAUUAUAAUUAUCUCUUGCUCUUCUUAGUGAAAUGUGUCAAUAAAAAAUUUAUAUUAAUCCUUACACAAUAUCUAUGAUGUGUUCUAAUACUGAGAAUAUUCGUUAGUAUUCAAGGUAUAACCCGAGGUGGGUGACAGUGAUUGUUGGAGGUGGUUAAAGGUGGUCGGAGGUGGACGAGGAAGAGGACGAGGAAGACGUGGAGAACGAGGUUUUCUGCACGUAUUCAAGGUAUCUCCUGAGGUGGUUGGCGGUGGUCGUUGGAGGUGGUCGGCGGUGGUCGGAGGUGGACCUGGAGGAGGACGAAGAUUUGUGCAUGGUAUAACUCGAGGUGGUUGGCGGUGGUCGUUGGGGGUGGUU